UACGGGGGGGGCAAGCGUUGUUCGGAAUUACUGGGCGUAAAGGGCUCGUAGGCGGCCAACUAAGUCAGACGUGAAAUCCCUCGGCUUAACCGGGGAACUGCGUCUGAUACUGGAUGGCUUGAAUCCGGGAGAGGGAUGCAGAAUUCCAGGUGUAGCGGUGAAAUGCGUAGAUAUCUGGAGGAAUACCGGUGGCGAAGGCGGCAUCCUGGACCGGCAUUGACGCUGAAUAGCGAAAGCCAGGGGAGCAAACGGG
This 253-nucleotide ribosomal RNA is filed under the name uncultured bacterium. Its description in RNAcentral is "partial 16S ribosomal RNA". It matches the Rfam family "Bacterial small subunit ribosomal RNA", at positions 524 to 776 of the family's 1533-position model. The record is from RNAcentral.